UCCCUGGUGGCUCAGACGGUAAAGCAUCUGUCAGCAAUGCAGGAGACCCGGGUUUGAUCCCUGGUUUGGGGA
RNAcentral lists this transfer RNA (72 nucleotides) under Bos taurus (domestic cattle). It matches the Rfam family "tRNA". Rfam says of the family: Transfer RNA (tRNA) molecules are approximately 80 nucleotides in length. Their secondary structure includes four short double-helical elements and three loops (D, anti-codon, and T loops). Lineage: Eukaryota; Metazoa; Chordata; Mammalia; Artiodactyla; Bovidae. The record is from Rfam by way of RNAcentral. RNAcentral also lists the same sequence under 1 other name.